UUUUCAAUCCAAUUUAUUUCC
This 21-nucleotide non-coding RNA is filed under the name Caenorhabditis elegans. The record is from RNAcentral. Lineage: Eukaryota; Metazoa; Nematoda; Chromadorea; Rhabditida; Rhabditidae.